This 562-nucleotide long non-coding RNA is filed under the name Helianthus annuus (common sunflower). RNAcentral's name for it is "sRNA HanXRQr2_Chr11g0506191". The record is from RNAcentral. Lineage: Eukaryota; Viridiplantae; Streptophyta; Magnoliopsida; Asterales; Asteraceae.
AUGAUUCUAGGGGCACAUUGUAAAUUCUGGAGCUUUGAAACCAAAUUUGCCGCCAUACAACUGUUGACAGCGAUGAAGUCAACAAGUCCCUUUGAUUUCGGGAUUUAAAUCCCGUUACCGCGUUGCCAUUUUCGGGACUGAUUUCCGCGUUUCCUUUUUAGACUCCAAUCAAGAACCUAGACGUGGUUAUCCUCCGUACAUUCACGUUGGCGACCCAUGAGCCUAUAAAAACCGACUCUUCCAACCAUUUCCAACAUCCCACAACCUGUUUCGAUACCCUUCACACAACUCGACACCCUCACUAUUCGAUAACAUCUUUCGUAGAACUUCGCACUCUUGCCUGGACAACCGGAGCUUCGCCGGAAGGAAACAAACAUUGCCGGAGGACCUGCUAGUCACCGGUGAUACGCGUAGUUUUCAUCGGAAUUCGACUCGACUCGCGUUCGGUUAACCGUUUUGUUCGUUCGGAAAUCCUUAUUUUAUACUCGUACGAAUCUCCUUAUACGCAACCACUGUGAACAGGUACGAAGAGAAGAUUGGACAUAGGAUGUGCCUUAGUUAA